GGAACUUAGUGACAGGUGGUGCAUNGCUGUCGUCAGCUCGUGUCGUGAGAUGUUGGGUUAAGUCCCGCAACGAGCGCAACCCCUAUUGUAUGUUGCUACCAUUAAGUUGAGCACUCAUGCGAUACNNCCUGCGAUGAGCAGGAGGAAGGUGGGGAUGACGUCAAGUCAUCAUGCCCCUUAUACGCUGGGCUACACACGUGCUACAAUGGGCAGUACAGAGAGUUGCCAACCCGCGAGGGUGAGCUAAUCUCUUAAAGCUGUUCUUAGUUCGGAUUGUACUCUGCAACUCGAGUACAUGAAGUUGGAAUCGCUAGUAAUCGCAAAUCAGCAUGUUGCGGUGAAUACGUUCUCGGGUCUUGUACACACCGCCCGUCACACCACGAGAGUUGGUUGCACCUGAAGUAGCAGGCCUAACCGUAAGGAGGGAUGUUCCUAAGGUGUGAUUAGCGAUUGGGGUG
This 458-nucleotide ribosomal RNA is filed under the name uncultured prokaryote. Its description in RNAcentral is "bacterial SSU rRNA". It matches the Rfam family "Bacterial small subunit ribosomal RNA", at positions 1023 to 1482 of the family's 1533-position model. The record is from RNAcentral.